Molecule: ribosomal RNA, 427 nt
Filed under: uncultured bacterium
Lineage: Bacteria
Description: partial 16S ribosomal RNA
Rfam family: Bacterial small subunit ribosomal RNA
Source: RNAcentral
UGGGGAAUAUUGGACAAUGGGGGCAACCCUGAUCCAGCCAUGCCGCGUGUGUGAAGAAGGCCUUUUGGUUGUAAAGCACUUUAAGCAGUGAAGAAGACUCCAUGGUUAAUACCCAUGGACGAUGACAUUAGCUGCAGAAUAAGCACCGGCUAACUCUGUGCCAGCAGCCGCGGUAAUACAGAGGGUGCAAGCGUUAAUCGGAAUUACUGGGCGUAAAGCGAGCGUAGGUGGCUUGAUAAGUCAGAUGUGAAAGCCCCGGGCUUAACCUGGGAACGGCAUCUGAUACUGUUAGGCUAGAGUAGGUGAGAGGAAGGUAGAAUGCCAGGUGUAGCGGUGAAAUGCGUAGAGAUCUGGAGGAAUACCGAUGGCGAAGGCAGCCUUCUGGCAUCAUACUGACACUGAGGUUCGAAAGCGUGGGUAGCAAACA